Molecule: ribosomal RNA, 448 nt
Filed under: uncultured bacterium
Lineage: Bacteria
Description: partial 16S ribosomal RNA
Rfam family: Bacterial small subunit ribosomal RNA
Source: RNAcentral
UGGGGAAUUUUGGACAAUGGGCGAAAGCCUGAUCCAGCAAUGCCGCGUGUGUGAAGAAGGCCUUCGGGUUGUAAAGCACUUUUGUCCGGAAAGAAAUCCUUGGCUCUAAUACAGUCGGGGGAUGACGGUACCGGAAGAAUAAGCACCGGCUAACUACGUGCCAGCAGCCGCGGUAAUACGUAGGGUGCAAGCGUUAAUCGGAAUUACUGGGCGUAAAGCGUGCGCAGGCGGUUUGCUAAGACCGAUGUGAAAUCCCCGGGCUAACCUGGGAACUGCAUUGGUGACUGGCAGGCUAGAGUAUGGCAGAGGGGGGUAGAAUUCCACGUGUAGCAGUGAAAUGCGUAGAGAUGUGGAGGAAUACCGAUGGCGAAGGCAGCCCCCCUGGGCCAAAUACUGACGCUCAUGCACGAAAGCGUGGGGAGCAAACAGGAUUAGAUACCCUGGUAGU